This 62-nucleotide transfer RNA is filed under the name Eolachesilla chilensis. RNAcentral's name for it is "tRNA-Thr". The record is from RNAcentral. Lineage: Eukaryota; Metazoa; Arthropoda; Insecta; Psocodea; Lachesillidae.
GUUUUAAUAAUUUAUACAAAAUAUUGGUCUUGUAAACCAAAAAAGAAAAUUUUCUUAAAACU